AAAGAUCGCAGCCUGCGGCAGCUCCUACAGGAGCACGCGGUCAAUCCAGGAGCUGCCGCAGGCUGCGAUCUUU
Molecule: unclassified non-coding RNA, 73 nt
Filed under: Pseudomonas umsongensis
Lineage: Bacteria; Pseudomonadati; Pseudomonadota; Gammaproteobacteria; Pseudomonadales; Pseudomonadaceae
Source: RNAcentral